This is a long non-coding RNA of Physeter macrocephalus (sperm whale), 262 nucleotides long. RefSeq lists it as uncharacterized. The transcript has 3 exons. The record is from RefSeq and is a predicted model, not a curated record. NCBI's taxonomy places the organism in Eukaryota, Metazoa, Chordata, Mammalia, Artiodactyla, Physeteridae.
GGUGAGUGUGAGUGUGAGCGCGACCACAGCCCGGCAGGUCCCGAGGCGCUAGCUGGGACUCUGCCACGGAAAGUUCCCAGUCCCCGGCCGCAGGAUGGGAAGGUCCCUUGGGGCUUCCUGGUAAUGAAUGACCUGAGAGCAACACCGCCACAACCUGCGGGGAAAGGAGAGUCGUUUCCCCGACCCCGAGAUCUGAAGGAUUGAAAUGACAUGUUUUGAGAUCUUCAAGCUGACUCAUCAGAAUCCUGGAGCAUUUUUUAAA